UACCAGCUUCCUCAUAUGACAAAAUAUGUUGGAGAGAAGACUGUUGUGGGAGAUGAUCAUCAGACUCCUUCUGGGCUUUUAUUUUGACAUUGUGAUGGGAAAAAGGUUGUGUUACUUUUCAUCCCCCUCAAACUUGGGAUGGGGUUAACUUCCUCACCAAGUUUGCUAAGCAGCUGCUCAAAAGAUCUUCUUGGUAGAGGCUUCGUAAAGAUAUCAGCAAUCUGAUACACAAUAGAGAUGUGUUUUGUCUUGAUCAAACCCAAGAC
Molecule: long non-coding RNA, 266 nt
Filed under: Brassica rapa (field mustard)
Lineage: Eukaryota; Viridiplantae; Streptophyta; Magnoliopsida; Brassicales; Brassicaceae
Description: long non-coding RNA (BRAP_LNC003685)
Source: RNAcentral